RNAcentral lists this ribosomal RNA (542 nucleotides) under uncultured archaeon. RNAcentral describes it as "bacterial SSU rRNA". It matches the Rfam family "Archaeal small subunit ribosomal RNA", at positions 457 to 997 of the family's 1478-position model. The record is from RNAcentral.
GCCAGCAGCCGCGGUAACACCGGCGGCCCGAGUGGUGAUCGUGAUUAUUGGGUCUAAAGGGUCCGUAGCCGGUUUGGUCAGUCCUCCGGGAAAUCUGAUAGCUCAACUAUUAGGCUUUCGGGGGAUACUGCCAGACUUGGAACCGGGAGAGGUAAGAGGUACUACAGGGGUAGGAGUGAAAUCUUGUAAUCCCUGUGGGACCACCUGUGGCGAGGGCGUCUUACCAGAACGGGUUCGACGGUGAGGGACGAAAGCUGGGGGCACGAACCGGAUUAGAUACCCGGGUAGUCCCAGCCGUAAACGAUGCUCGCUAGGUGUCGGGCAUGGCGCGACCGUGUCUGGUGCCGCAGGGAAGCCGUGAAGCGAGCCACCUGGGAAGUACGGCCGCAAGGCUGAAACUUAAAGGAAUUGGCGGGGGAGCACAACAACGGGUGGAGCCCUGCGGUUUAAUUGGACUCAACGCCGGACAACUCACCGGGGGCGACAGCAAUAUGUAGGCCAAGCUGAAGACUUUGCCUGAAUCGCUGAGGAGUGGUGCAUGG